AGUGAACGCUGGCGGUAGGCCUAACACAUGCAAGUCGAACGGCAGCACAGUAAGAUCUUGCUCUUACGGGUGGCGAGUGGCGGACGGGUGACGAAUACAUCGGAUUCUACUUUUUCGUGGGGGACAACGUAGGGCAACUUACGCUACUACCGCAUACGACCUACGGGUUAAAGCAGUGGAUCUUCGGACCUUUCGCGUUUGAUUGAGCCGAUGUCGGAUUAGCUAGUUGGCGGGGUAAAGGCCCACCAAGGCGACGAUCCGUAGCUGGUCUGAGAGGAUGAUCAGCCACACUGGAACUGAGACACGGUCCAGACUCCUACGGGAGGCAGCAGUGGGGAAUAUUGGACAAUGGGCGAAAGCCUGAUCCAGCCAUACCGCGUGAGUGAAGAAGGCCUUCGGGUUGUAAAGCCCUGUUGUUGGGAAAGAAAAGCAGCAGGUUAAUACCCCGCUGUUCUGACGGUACCCAAAGAAUAAGCACCGGCUAACUUCGUG
RNAcentral lists this ribosomal RNA (492 nucleotides) under uncultured bacterium. RNAcentral's name for it is "partial 16S ribosomal RNA". It matches the Rfam family "Bacterial small subunit ribosomal RNA", at positions 29 to 507 of the family's 1533-position model. The record is from RNAcentral.